This 460-nucleotide ribosomal RNA is filed under the name uncultured bacterium. RNAcentral describes it as "partial 16S ribosomal RNA". It matches the Rfam family "Bacterial small subunit ribosomal RNA", at positions 338 to 795 of the family's 1533-position model. The record is from RNAcentral.
CCUACGGUGUGCUGCAGUGAGGAAUAUUGGUCAAUGGACGAGAGUCUGAACCAGCCAAGUAGCGUGAAGGAUGCCUGCCCUACGGGUUGUAAACUUCUUUUAUAAAGGAAUAAAGUGAGGCACGUGUGCCUUUUUGUAUGUACUUUAUGAAUAAGGAACGGCUAACUCCGUGCCAGCAGCCGCGGUAAUACGGAGGAUCCGAGCGUUAUCCGGAUUUAUUAGGUUUAAAGGGAGCGUAGAUGGGUUGUUAAGUCAGUUGUGAAAGUUUGCGGCUCAACCGUAACAUUGCAAUUGUUACUGGCAGUCUUGAGUACAGUUGAGGUAGGCGGAAUUCGUGGUGUAGCGGUGAAAUGCUUAGAUAUCACGAAGAACUCCGAUUGCGAAGGCAGCUUACUAAACUGCCACUGACAUUGAUGCUCGAAAGUGUGGGUAUCAAACAGGAUUAGAUACCCCGGUAGUC